CAGUCAGUCAGUAUAUCAGUCAGUCAGUCAGUAUAUCAGUCAGUCAGUCAGUCUGUCUAUCAGUCAGUCAGUAUAUCAGUCAGUCAGUCAGUAUAUCAGUCAGUCAGUCAGUCAGUCAGUAUAUCAGUCAGUCAGUCAGUCAGUCAGUCAGUAUAUCAGUCAGUCAGUAUGUCAGUAUAUCAGUCAGUCAGUAUAUCAGUCAGUAUGUCAGUAUAUCAGUCAGUCAGUCAGUCAGUCAGUAUAUCAGUCAGUCAGUCAGUAUAUCAGUCAGUCAGUCAGUCAGUAUAUCAGUCAGUAUAUCAGUCAGUCUGUCAGUAUAUCAGAUAGU
Pelobates cultripes (western spadefoot toad) is the source of this 328-nucleotide non-coding RNA. Lineage: Eukaryota; Metazoa; Chordata; Amphibia; Anura; Pelobatidae. The record is from the annotation of a GenBank genome assembly.